This is a long non-coding RNA of Mastomys coucha (southern multimammate mouse), 1397 nucleotides long. RefSeq lists it as uncharacterized. Lineage: Eukaryota; Metazoa; Chordata; Mammalia; Rodentia; Muridae. The transcript has 4 exons. The record is from RefSeq and is a predicted model, not a curated record.
UGGAGUGGGUGUGGCCUUGGAGGAUGUAUGUCACUGUGGGAAUGGGCUUAGCGGUCCUAUACUCAAGCUCCACCCAGUGUGGAAGGGAGAUCUUCCUCCUGGCUCAUUCAGAUCAAGAUGUAGAACGCUCAGCUCUUCCAGCAUCACGUCUGCCUGCAAACUGCCAUGCUUCUUGCCCUGAUGAUUAAGGGACUGAGCCUCUGAAACUGUAAGCCAGCUCCAAUUCAGUAAGAGUUGCUUUAGUCAUGCUGCCCCUUCCCAGCAGUAGAAACCCUAAAACAAGUUAUGAGAAUGUAAUGAAUCACCAGUGUUCUAAUCUAGUAACAAUGUGUCAGCAGCCAUUGAGGAUGUAAGGGUUUUUUUUUUUUUCUGUACAUUUAGUUUACCAACGUUUAUCUUGAAAAGCCUAAAGAAUCAAAUACACCAAGAACUAAAUAUUAGUUUGGUAAAAAGAUAACAAGAGAAACAGCAAAGAGGCUACACCCAACAAUCCAGAGAAAGUCAAGAUCUGGCAGACCAAGUCUAGCACUUUGCAUCUCUUUGAGCAGAAAUCCUGUCUCCUACUAAGGCUGAGGAAUGAUCGUGAGCCUUGGUUCCUUCUUCAUUCUCCACCGUUGGACACACACUCUCCACUGAGAGCGGCUGUCUGAGAUCAUUGCCGACCACGCCAACACGGACUCAGGUUCACAGCAUCAGUGUGAAAAACCGGGUUAAGAAAAUCCCAGGGAAUAAAUACAGAGCUAAUUAGAGAUUUUAAAUUAAUAUGCACAAACUGAAAUGAAUUUUCAAAGACAUUCUCCCUUUCUUUUUUUUUUUUUGCCAUAAUUUAAGCCUUUUUCUGAGGGGCCAGCAUGUACAGCCAACAGAAGAACUUGAGGACAGAAAAUAAUUAUUUUUUCUUUAAAAAAAAAUCACAAAAAAGGAGGCUGGAGGAUUGGUUCCGUGGUCAAGAGCAUAAUCUGACUGACUGCUCUCGGAGAGGAGCCAAGUACCGGUCCCAGCACCCGUGGUGAGCAUUGUCACAACUACCUACAACUCCAGCCGCAAGGGAACCGACCCCACACACGGCACACACCUCUACAGGCAGACCUUCAUCAGAACCAGUAUUUGGUAAGGGUUGGCGAGAUGAAUCAAUCUACCUCUGGAGCUCUGGGAACAGGAAGAGGAAUGGAAGGUGCAUUUGAAUAUCCUACUCCAGGUUUCUACCCUAAGCUUCUGGCUCAUUUGUGAGCUUUCACCAAGCCCCAGGAUACAGUGGUCCCCAAUUCCUAAAGAAGACAAAACUAUGAAUAUGACACCACACAUCUAAAACAAACUUUCAAGAAGAUUUUCCAAAAAUAAUGGCAGAUUUCAUGUAAACAUCUCCAUUAUGCAUUGCACAGGGAGACUGGUGAUUA